Molecule: ribosomal RNA, 463 nt
Filed under: Metaxanthops acutus
Lineage: Eukaryota; Metazoa; Arthropoda; Malacostraca; Decapoda; Xanthidae
Description: partial 16S ribosomal RNA
Rfam family: Bacterial large subunit ribosomal RNA
Source: RNAcentral
CAAAGGUAGCAUAAUCAUUAGUUCCUUAAUUGGGAACUGGAAUGAAAGGUUGGACAAAGAAAAAGCUGUCUUUAGUUUCAAAUAUUUGAACUUUACUUUUAAGUGAAAAGGCUUAGAUAUGUUAGGAAGACGAUAAGACCCUAUAAAACUUUAUAUAUUUCUGUAGCUUAGUUGAUUUAAGUUGUAAAAACUGAUCUAGGGGGUUAUAUUUUGUUGGGGAGAUGUGAGUAUAAAUAAUUAUAACUGCUUAACUUGAAAACAGAAAUAUUUGAGUAGAGGCUGAAUGAUCCUUCUUAAAGAUUAAAAGAUCAAGUUACUUUAGGGAUAACAGCGUUAUUUCUUUUAAGAGCCCAUAUCGAAAAAGAAGUUUGCGACCUCGAUGUUGAAUUAAAAUUUCUAUAUAGUGCAGCUGCUAUAAAAGAAGGUCUGUUCGACCUUUAAAUUUUUACAUGAUUUGAGUUAA